AUACGGAGGGUCCAAGCGUUAACCGGAUUCAUUGGGUUUAAAGGGUCCGCAGGCGGGAAAAUAAGUCAGUGGUGAAAGCCUACAGCUCAACUGUAGAACUGCCAUUGAUACUGUUUUUCUUGAGUAUAGAUGAAGUGGGCGGAAUAUAUCAUGUAGCGGUGAAAUGCAUAGAUAUGAUAUAGAACACCGAUUGCGAAGGCAGCUCACUAAACUAUUACUGACGCUCAGGGACGAAAGCGUGGGGAGCGAACAGGAUUAGAAACCCUAGUAGUCC
Molecule: ribosomal RNA, 274 nt
Filed under: uncultured bacterium
Lineage: Bacteria
Description: partial 16S ribosomal RNA
Rfam family: Bacterial small subunit ribosomal RNA
Source: RNAcentral